RNAcentral lists this ribosomal RNA (1366 nucleotides) under metagenome. RNAcentral describes it as "bacterial SSU rRNA". It matches the Rfam family "Bacterial small subunit ribosomal RNA". The record is from RNAcentral.
UGUAAUACAUAGGUAACCUGCCUGUGAGUGGUGGAUAACUUGCUGAAAAGCAAGCUAAUACAGCAUGUGAUAAGCAAGUAUUUCUUGUUUAUUAAAGUCUUCGGGCGCUCGCAGAGGGGCCUAUGCCUGAUUAGCUAGUUGGUGAGGUAACGGCUCACCAAGGCGAUGAUCAGUAGCUGGUCUGAGAGGAUGGUCAGCCAGAUGGGGACUGAGAUACGGCCCCAACUCCUACGGGAGGCAGCAGCAAGGAAUAUUGGGCAAUGGGCGAAAGCCUGACCCAGCGACACCGCGUGAGGGAUUAAGGCCUUCGGGUUGUAAACCUCUUUUCUCGAGGAAGAAGUUCUGACGGUACUCGAGGAAUAAGCCACGGCUAACUACGUGCCAGCAGCCGCGGUAAUACGUAGGUGGCGAACGUUACCCGGAUUUAUUGGGCGUAAAGAGAGUGUAGCGGCUUGUUAAGUCGAGUGUUAAAUCUUCUGACUCAAUCAGGAGCUGCAUUCGAUACUGGUAGGCUUGAGGGCAGCAGAGGAAAACGGAAUUCCCAGUGUAGCGGUGAAAUGCGUUGAUAUUGGGAAGAACACCAGAGGCGAAGGCGGUUUUCCAGGCUGUAUCUGACGCUGAGACUCGAAAGCGUGGGGAGCGAAGCGGAUUAGAUACCCGCGUAGUCCACGCCUUAAACGGUGAACAUUAGGUAUGGGAAGUAUCGACCCUUUCUGUGUCGUAGCUAACGCUUUAAAUGUUCCGCCUGGGGAGUACGGUCGCAAGGCUAAAACUCAAAGGAAUUGACGGGGGUCCGCACAAGCAGCGGAGCGUGUGGUUUAAUUCGAUGAUACACGAAGAACCUUACCAGGGUUUGACAUGUCAGAAGUAGGAAACCGAAAGGUGGACGACCUGUAUCCAAUCAGGAACUGUCACAGGUGCUGCAUGGCUGUCGUCAGCUCGUGCCGUGAGGUGUUGGGUUAAGUCCCGCAACGAGCGCAACCCUUGUUCUAUGUUAAUUUCUCAUAGAAGACUGCCUUGUACAGCAAGGAGGAAGAAGAGGAUGACGUCAAGUCAGCAUGGCCUUUAUGCCCUGGGCUACACACACGCUACAAUGGGUAAUACAGAGGGUUGCCAAAGAGUGAUCUGGAGCCAAUCCCUUAAAAUUAUCCUCAGUUCGGAUUGUAGGCUGAAAUCGCCUACAUGAAGUCGGAGUUGCUAGUAAUCGCAGGUCAGCUAUACUGCGGUGAAUACGUUCUCGGACCUUGUACACACCGCCCGUCACGUCGUGGAAGUCGGAAACACUUGAAGCCAAUGUGUUAACUUGUUUUCAAGAAAUAGUUGUCGAAGGUGGAGCUGAUAACUGUGGCGAAGUCGUAACAAGGCA